UAUCCAAAUUUAAGAGAAAAAAUAAUUUAUAAUAACUCUUGUUAGGUAUUUACUUUUUAAUUUUAUAUAUUUAAGAAUAUAUUGUGUGAUACAGAAGAUAAAUUAGAAAAUGAUAAUAAUUAUAGUAAAAUUAUAAAUUCAAUAAUUGUUGAUAGCAUUAAAAACCCUAGUUUAAUUGACAGCUGCAACCAACAUGAAACCAUUGGUCCCAAGUCUUAUACAAAUCUUGAGAAUCUAUGUCAUGUACAAGAUAUGAAAUAUACACAUACAAAUAAUUUGAAUAUAGAAUUGUUAAAUGAUAUUCAAAACACUGCCACUUUUGUUGAAAACCUUGAUACUGAAUUUGACUUUCAAGAUAAAACUGAUGCAGGUUUUAAACAGUAUACAAAUAUUGAGAGUUUCCAAGAUAAUAUAGCUUUACCUUUAACAGUUGAGAAUUAUAAUAUUACUAAUACUGACUAUAAUGAGAUUUGUGUUGGAAAUAAUAAUAUUGAGAAUUGUGAUGGAAAUUCUAAUAGUGGUCAAAAUUAAGGAUCGAUUAAUUUCUCAAAUGCAACAGUUUCUUCAGAAUCAGACAUUUUUGGAAAU
Daktulosphaira vitifoliae (grape phylloxera) is the source of this 588-nucleotide long non-coding RNA. RefSeq lists it as uncharacterized. The transcript has 3 exons. The record is from RefSeq and is a predicted model, not a curated record. NCBI's taxonomy places the organism in Eukaryota, Metazoa, Arthropoda, Insecta, Hemiptera, Phylloxeridae.